Molecule: ribosomal RNA, 340 nt
Filed under: uncultured eukaryote
Lineage: Eukaryota
Description: bacterial SSU rRNA
Rfam family: Eukaryotic small subunit ribosomal RNA
Source: RNAcentral
AGUUAUAUGCUCAUUUCGAAGACUAAGCCAUGCAUGUCUAAGUAUAAGUUGUUAUACAACGAAACUGCGAAUAGCUCAUUAAAACAAUUACAGUCUAUGUGGGCGUACUUACUACACGGAUAACUGUGGUAAUUCUGGAGCUAAUACGUGACUUAACAUCCAGUUGGAUGUCACUUAUUGGAUAAGAACCAACCUAUGGCAACAUAGAGACUUGGUGAUCCACAAUAAGGUUGUGAAUCGCAUGGCGUAUGCUGGCGAUAUUCCACCUGAGUUUUUGACUUAUCAGCUAGACGGUAGGGUAUUGUCCUAUCGUGGCAUUGACGAGUAACGGGGAAUUAGG